This 303-nucleotide ribosomal RNA is filed under the name uncultured bacterium. Its description in RNAcentral is "partial 16S ribosomal RNA". It matches the Rfam family "Bacterial small subunit ribosomal RNA", at positions 507 to 807 of the family's 1533-position model. The record is from RNAcentral.
AGCAGUCGCCGCGGUAAUACGUAGGGUGCAAGCGUUAAUCGGAAUUACUGGGCGUAAAGCGUGCGCAGGCGGUUGUGUAAGACAGGUGUGAGAUCCCCGGGCUUAACCUGGGAAUUGCAUUUGUGACUGCACAGCUAGAGUAUGGCAGAGGGGGGUGGAAUUCCACGUGUAGCAGCGAAAUGCGUAGAGAUGUGGAGGAACACCGAUGGCGAAGGCAGCCCCCUGGGCCAAUACUGACGCUCAUGCACGAAAGCGUGGGGAGCAAACAGGAUUAGAUACCCGCGUAGUCCCUGUCUCUUAUAC